Molecule: unclassified non-coding RNA, 312 nt
Filed under: plant metagenome
Description: partial contains 5.8S ribosomal RNA, internal transcribed spacer 2, and large subunit ribosomal RNA
Rfam family: 5.8S ribosomal RNA (bases 1-105)
Source: RNAcentral
GAAAUGCGAUAAGUAAUUUGAAUUGCAGAAUUCCGUGAAUCAUCGAAUCUUUGAACGCACAUUGCGCCCUCUGGCAUUCCGGGGGGCAUGCCUGUCCGAGCGUCAUUACGCACCCUCAAGCCCGGCUUGUGUGAUGGGCCCCGGCGUCUCGUUCGCGAGACGGGCCCGAAAGGCAGCGGCGGCGUCGACCCGAUGAGCCCGAGCGUAUGGGGACUUCUGUCACACGUUCGCGGUGCGGACCGGCGCCUGCUUGACUUUUCUGAUUAUCCAGGUUGACCUCGGAUCAGGUAGGGAUACCCGCUGAACUUAAGC